AAAAAAGCAUCGACGCGAGGUUCUAGCCGCCCGUACCCCAAACCGACUCAGGUGGUCAGGUAGAGAAUACCAAGGAGAUCGAGAGAAUCGUGGUUAAGGAACUCGGCAAAAUGCCCCCGUAACUUCGGGAGAAGGGGGGCCUUCGACGUAUUAGGACUUGCUCCGAAAGCGUUUGGAGGCCGCAGAGACUAGUGGGUAGCGACUGUUUAUUAAAAACACAGGUCCGUGCCAAGUCGCAAGACGAUGUAUACGGACUGACGCCUCCCCGGUGCUGGAAGGUUAAGAGGACCGGUUAGCCGCAAGGCGAAGCUGAGAAUUUAAGCCCCAGUAAACGGCGGUGGUAACUAUAACCAUCCUAAGGUAGCGAAAUUCCUUGUCGGGUAAGUUCCGACCUGCACGAAUGGCGUAACGACUUCCCAACUGUCUCAACCGCGAACUCGGCGAAAUUGCACUACGAGUAAAGAUGCUCGUUACGCGCAGCAGGACGGAAAGACCCCGUGACCUUUACUACAGCUUGGUAUUGGUGUUCGGUGUGGCUUGUGUAGGAUAGGUGGGAGACUUUGAAGCAUGGACGCCAGUUCAUGUGGAGUCAUUGUUGAAAUACCACUCUGGUCACUCUGGAUAUCUAACUUCGAACCGUAAUCCGGUUCAGGGACAGUGCCUGGUGGGUAGUUUAACUGGGGCGGUUGCCUCCCAAAAUGUAACGGAGGCGCCCAAAGGUUCCCUCAACCUGGUUGGCAAUCAGAUGACGAGUGUAAGUGCACAGGGAGCUUGACUGUGAGACUGACAGGUCGAGCAGGGACGAAAGUCGGGACUAGUGAUCCGGCAGUGGCUUGUGGAAGCGCUGUCGCUCAACGGAUAAAAGGCACCUCGGGGAUAACAGGCUGAUCUUGCCCAAGAGUCCAUAUCGACGGCAUGGUUUGGCACCUCGAUGUCGGCUCGUCGCAUCCUGGGGCUGGAGUAGGUCCCAAGGGUUGGGCUGUUCGCCCAUUGAAGCGGUACGCGAGCUGGGUUUAGAACGUCGUGAGACAGUUCGGUCCCUAUCCGCUGCGCGCGUAGGAAAUUUGAGAGGAUCUGACCCUAGUACGAGAGGACCGGGUUGGACGAACCUCUGGUGUGCCAGUUGUUCUGCCAAGAGCACCGCUGGUUAGCUACGUUCGGGAUGGAUAACCGCUGAAAGCAUCUAAGCGGGAAGCCGGCCUCAAGAUGGGAUUUCCAUGCCUUCGGGCGAGAGGCUCCCAGCCAGACUACUGGGUUGAUAGGCCGGAUGUGGAAGCGUGGCAACACGUGCAGCUGACCGGUACUAAUAAGCCGAUGACUUGAUC
This 1325-nucleotide ribosomal RNA is filed under the name metagenome. RNAcentral describes it as "bacterial LSU rRNA". It matches the Rfam family "Bacterial large subunit ribosomal RNA", at positions 1611 to 2925 of the family's 2925-position model. The record is from RNAcentral.